RNAcentral lists this transfer RNA (74 nucleotides) under Candidatus Altarchaeales archaeon. Its description in RNAcentral is "Candidatus Altiarchaeales archaeon tRNA-His". It matches the Rfam family "tRNA". Rfam says of the family: Transfer RNA (tRNA) molecules are approximately 80 nucleotides in length. Lineage: Archaea; Nanobdellati; Candidatus Altarchaeota; Candidatus Altarchaeia; Candidatus Altarchaeales. The record is from RNAcentral.
GCCGGGGUGGGGUAGUCUGGUUAUCCUGUAGGCCUGUGGAGCCCGAGACCCGAGUUCAAAUCUCGGUCCCGGCC